RNAcentral lists this ribosomal RNA (253 nucleotides) under uncultured bacterium. Its description in RNAcentral is "partial 16S ribosomal RNA". It matches the Rfam family "Bacterial small subunit ribosomal RNA", at positions 79 to 334 of the family's 1533-position model. The record is from RNAcentral.
AAACCAAAGCUGGCGACCGGCGCACGGGUGAGUAACACGUAUCCAACCCGCCUCAUACUCGGGGAUAGCCUUUCGAAAGAAAGAUUAAUAUCCGAUAGCAUAUAUUUCCCGCAUGGGUUUUAUAUUAAAGAAAUUCGGUAUGAGAUGGGGAUGCGUUCCAUUAGUUUGUUGGGGGGUAACGGCCCACCAAGACUACGAUGGAUAGGGGUUCUGAGAGGAAGGUCCCCCACAUUGGAACUGAGACACGGUCCAA